RNAcentral lists this ribosomal RNA (515 nucleotides) under uncultured bacterium. RNAcentral describes it as "bacterial SSU rRNA". It matches the Rfam family "Bacterial small subunit ribosomal RNA", at positions 14 to 518 of the family's 1533-position model. The record is from RNAcentral.
CGAUCUGACUCAGAACGAACGCUGGCGGCGCGUCUUAAGCAUGCAAGUCGAACGGCAAGAGGUAGCAAUACCUCCUAGAGUGGCGGACUGGUGAGUAACACGUGGGUGACAUACCCUUCAGAUGGGGAUAGCUAUUAGAAAUAGUAGAUAAUACCGAAUACGAGCACAGGGGGUUAGAGAUCUGUGAGGAAAGGAGCUAAGGCUCCGCUGAAGGAAUGGCCUGCGGCCCAUUAGCUAGUUGGUGAGGUAAGAGCCCACCAAGGCGAUGAUGGGUAUCCGGCCUUAGAGGGUGAACGGACACAUUGGGACUGAGAUACGGCCCAGACUCCUACGGGAGGCAGCAGCUAAGAAUAUUCCGCAAUGGACGAAAGUCUGACGGAGCGACGCCGCGUGGAUGAAGAAGGCCGGAAGGUUGUAAAAUCCUUUUGAAACUGAAGAAUAAGCGUUGUAGGGAAUGACAGCGUGGUGACAGUAGGUUUUGAAUAAGCAACGGCUAAUUACGUGCCAGCAGCCGC